UCCAUGUAUUCUAAAUCGUCUCCACACUAUUUCACUGAACUUAACACUACGGGCGGUCGAACGUAAACCCGUUUUAUCCGCUAGAUAUAUCUUCUGGUUACCGUAACGCGUUCAAGACUAAUACUCGAGACUCGAGACCUCGUGAACUGCUAAAACAGUCGGCACGGUUUCACGGGUUGUAAGUUCCAUGCACGAGUCGCAGCCGCAUAAAUCGGCCGCGUCACUUCAUAUUUGCGAAAAAAUUCUGUUUACAUUCGCCCAGAGGGACCCAGGAAUAAAUAUAUAUGAUACACAUUCUAGUAAACGUGUGCAAUAUACAUUGGUAAGAGAUAAAAUCGUAAUAUUACUGCAGAAGACGUGGAGAAUUUUAAUAACGGAAUUACAAAGAUAGUAAAUACAUUUUAAUUAAAAAAUUAUUCCUUUACGAGUUUACAAUAAUCGAUAAUGUUACAUAAUUUUCUAUAAUAUGUAUUUAUAUGUAUAUAUU
RNAcentral lists this unclassified non-coding RNA (487 nucleotides) under Bombus terrestris (buff-tailed bumblebee). RNAcentral describes it as "misc RNA ENSBTSG00005035322.1". Lineage: Eukaryota; Metazoa; Arthropoda; Insecta; Hymenoptera; Apidae. The record is from RNAcentral.